UUGGGUGAUUACAGUGGUUUACAAAUGUGAUGGCUUACAGAGUUGGACAUUUAUUCUUGUAUUUUUUUAAACAUUUGUUUUCUCACUUCUAUCAGUUUGAGUAAGAUAUUACUGAAAGCAAAAGAGAUGUUUCCUUUUUUUUUAAUUUUUAUUUAAACUUAAACUUCUUUACUCCAAAAUAAAGAGAUAUUGAACACCGAAAGACAUGCUUAAAGUUCUACCUAGUGCACAAGGCAUUCUUGUGGACAUCUAGAACAAGCUAUGGGAAAAUUGUAUGUUGUCUCUGAUGACAAUGCAUAGAAGUUUUACUAAAGUAACUCUAUGAUUUGCUGCAGAAAGACAGUGAUGCUGUCAAAGAGGCACUUGAUCAGCUGAGUGAAGUUGGUUGGGCGAACAAAUGGAGUUCUCAACCAUAUGUAUCAUGUCGUAUGGUCAGUGUCCAUAACAAGUGUGAAGUUCUGGGAAAGUGCUACUCAAACAUUAGCCACAUCUACAAAUCUAUGCAUAAAUACCUCUCGUCGGGAGCUGACAACUCUUGGAAUUAAAAACGCGGAGAACCUUGCAAUCCCAAGUGUUAGAAAUGAUGCAGCUUUUCUCUUUACAGUGGUAGGGACAACAGGCUUUUUGGGUGUUCUUGCCGGUCAGCUUCCUCGGGUAACUUCACAUAAUAUCCUCUUUCUCCGAU
Non-coding RNA from Camellia sinensis, 685 nucleotides. The record is from RefSeq and is a predicted model, not a curated record. Lineage: Eukaryota; Viridiplantae; Streptophyta; Magnoliopsida; Ericales; Theaceae.